Schistocerca nitens (vagrant locust) is the source of this 413-nucleotide long non-coding RNA. RefSeq lists it as uncharacterized. The transcript has 3 exons. Lineage: Eukaryota; Metazoa; Arthropoda; Insecta; Orthoptera; Acrididae. The record is from RefSeq and is a predicted model, not a curated record.
GAGAUGUGAAAGCUUUCGAACAGAUCCUUCAAGAUAAUCUGAAAGAUUUCGCUGUCGGUAGCGACGGCAAAUACUGUGGCUACUGUGAUUCGGAGAAUGAGAUCAAAAGACUAUUGAAUAGUCUUAAGUGCAUAGGGUAUUCAUACUCGGUAACCCACGAAUCUUCUUCCAGCAUUUUCAGGGUAACGUUGAAAUCCCAUUUAUGGGAUAUCCGUUUUCGGUGGAAUAUUCCAGCUACCAACAAUGCACCCUGGGCCCCAAAUAUUACAGUAAAAAGGAGACUGUUGUUACAAGUCACCUGGCUGACCAUGUUAACCCAGCAAAAAAGAGAUUGUUGAUUAUGGAUACGAAAAAGAGCGAUUACCCUGCCACUUUUUCAAUUAAAUGUGUUAAAGUGUAUCCAGGCUAUUCUG